UGAGUAACCUGCCCCCUUCCUUGGGAUAACCGCCGGAAACGGUGGCUAAUACCGGAUAUACACCUGCGGUCGCAUGGUUGUUGGUGGAAAGUUUUUCGGUGGGGGAUGGGCUCGCGGCCUAUCAGCUUGUUGGUGGGGUGAUGGCCUACCAAGGCUUUGACGGGUAGCCGGCCUGAGAGGGCGACCGGCCACACUGGGACUGAGACACGGCCCAGACUCCUACGGGAGGCAG
This 232-nucleotide ribosomal RNA is filed under the name uncultured bacterium. Its description in RNAcentral is "partial 16S ribosomal RNA". It matches the Rfam family "Bacterial small subunit ribosomal RNA", at positions 118 to 351 of the family's 1533-position model. The record is from RNAcentral.